RNAcentral lists this ribosomal RNA (393 nucleotides) under Nodosilinea foveolarum BEA 1083B. RNAcentral's name for it is "bacterial SSU rRNA". It matches the Rfam family "Bacterial small subunit ribosomal RNA", at positions 378 to 786 of the family's 1533-position model. Lineage: Bacteria; Bacillati; Cyanobacteriota; Cyanophyceae; Nodosilineales; Nodosilineaceae. The record is from RNAcentral.
CAAGCCUGACGGAGCAAGACCGCGUGAGGGAGGAAGGCUCUUGGGUUGUAAACCUCUUUUAUCAGGGAAGAAGAUCUGACGGUACCUGAUGAAUCAGCAUCGGCUAACUCCGUGCCAGCAGCCGCGGUAAUACGGAGGAUGCAAGCGUUAUCCGGAUUUAUUGGGCGUAAAGCGUCCGCAGGUGGUUUUUCAAGUCUGCUGUUAAAGCGCAGAGCUUAACUCUGUAACGGCGGUGGAAACUGAGAGACUAGAGUAUGGUAGGGGUAGCGGGAAUUCCCAGUGUAGCGGUGAAAUGCGUAGAUAUUGGGAAGAACACCAGCGGCGAAAGCGCGCUACUGGGCCAUAACUGACACUCAUGGACGAAAGCUAGGGGAGCGAAUGGGAUUAGAUACC